Molecule: unclassified non-coding RNA, 258 nt
Filed under: Nemania sp.
Lineage: Eukaryota; Fungi; Ascomycota; Sordariomycetes; Xylariales; Xylariaceae
Description: partial contains 5.8S ribosomal RNA, internal transcribed spacer 2, and large subunit ribosomal RNA
Source: RNAcentral
CGCACAUUGCGCCCACCAGUAUUCUGGUGGGCAUGCCUGUUCGAGCGUCAUUUCAACCCUUAAGCCCCUGUUGCUUAGCGUUGGGAGCCUACUGGACAUGUCCUGUAGCUCCCCAAAGUCAGUGGCGGAGCCGGUUCGCACUCCAGACGUAGUAGCCUUUACACGUCGCCUGUAGCGCGGGCCGGUCCCCUGCCGUAAAACACCCCAAAUUCUGAUAAGGUUGACCUCGGAUCAGGUAGGAAUACCCGCUGAACUUAA